This 440-nucleotide ribosomal RNA is filed under the name uncultured bacterium. RNAcentral describes it as "partial 16S ribosomal RNA". It matches the Rfam family "Bacterial small subunit ribosomal RNA", at positions 338 to 795 of the family's 1533-position model. The record is from RNAcentral.
CCUACGGUGGGCUGCAGUGGGGGAUAUUGCACAAUGGGGGAAACCCUGAUGCAGCGACGCCGCGUGAGUGAAGAAGGAUUUCGGUAUGUAAAGCUCUAUCAGCAGGGAAGAAAAUGACAGUACCUGACCACAAAGCCCCGGCUAACUACGGGCCAGCAGCCGCGGUAAUACGUCGGGGGCAAGCUUUAUCCGGAUUUACUGGGUGUAAAGGGAGCGUAGACGGUUAUGUAAGUCUGGAGUGAAAGCCCGGUGCCCAACCCCGGGACUGCUUUGGAUACUGGCUAACUGGAGUACAGGAGGGGCAGGCGGAAUUCCUGGUGUAGCGGUGAAAUGCGUAGAUAUCAGGAGGAACACCGGCGGCGAAGGCGGCCUGCUGGACUGAAACUGACGUUGAGGCGCGAAAGCGUGGGGAGCAAACAGGAUUAGAUACCCGGGUAGUC